UCUUUAAGAAAUAUUGUAAGGUAUGUAAUUGAUCACAAGUUAGUUUAACUACAAUUCCAUGUGGAUUCUGAUACUCCUGUAUUGAUUUAUUAAAAGUUAGUAUUAUAUUUAUAUGAGACUUGUCAUAGAAUCCAAAUGUGAUCUACCUUAAAUGGUUCUGAACGUGCAAAAAGAACUGGUGCAGAUGGCAUGCGUUUAAAAGAAGGCAUUCAUAUCAACAAGGGUCUAUUAGCUCUUGGGAAUGUAAUAAGUUCUCUAAGAGAUGAAAGAAAGC
Cajanus cajan (pigeon pea) is the source of this 274-nucleotide non-coding RNA. The record is from RefSeq and is a predicted model, not a curated record. Lineage: Eukaryota; Viridiplantae; Streptophyta; Magnoliopsida; Fabales; Fabaceae.